GCAAACUUGGUCAUUUAGAGGAAGUAAAAGUCGUAACAAGGUCUCCGUUGGUGAACCAGCGGAGGGAUCAUUACCGAGUUUACAACUCCCAAACCCACUGUGAACAUACCUACUGUUGCUUCGGCGGGACCGCCCCGGCGCCGACUCAGGCCCGGAACCAGGCGCCCGCCGGAGGACCCAAACCCUGCUUUCUGCACGUAUUCUACUCUGAUUACAAACAAACAAUAAAUCAAAACUUUCAACAACGGAUCUCUUGGUUCUGGCAUCGAUGAAGAACGCAGC
Molecule: unclassified non-coding RNA, 282 nt
Filed under: uncultured fungus
Lineage: Eukaryota; Fungi
Description: partial contains small subunit ribosomal RNA, internal transcribed spacer 1, and 5.8S ribosomal RNA
Rfam family: Eukaryotic small subunit ribosomal RNA (bases 1-73)
Source: RNAcentral